GAUGAACGCUGGCGGCGUGCUUAACACAUGCAAGUCGAACGGGAUCCAAGGGGUGCUUGCACUUUUUGGUGAGAGUGGCGAACGGGUGAGUAACACGUGAGUAACCUGUCCUUUUCUUUGGGAUAAGCAUUCGAAAGGGUGUUUAAUACCUUAUGUUCUGUCUGCCUCGCAUGGGGUGGGUGGGAAAGGCUUUGGCCGGAUUUGGGUGGGCUCGCGGUCUAUCAGCUUGUUGGUGGGGUGAUGGCUUACCAAGGCUUUGACGGGUAGCCGGCCUGAGAGGGUGGUCGGUCACAUUGGGACUGAGAUACGGCCCAGACUCCUGCGGGAGGAAGCAGUGGGGGAUAUUGCACAAUGGGCGAAAGCCUGAUGCAGCGACGCCGCGUGGGGGAUGAAGGCCUUCGGGUUGUAAACUUCUUUUGCUCUGAACAAGGCAUGCCAGUGGGUGUGUUGAGUGUAGGGGUUGAUUAGCGCCGGCUAACUACGUG
This 485-nucleotide ribosomal RNA is filed under the name uncultured bacterium. Its description in RNAcentral is "partial 16S ribosomal RNA". It matches the Rfam family "Bacterial small subunit ribosomal RNA", at positions 28 to 507 of the family's 1533-position model. The record is from RNAcentral.